This 678-nucleotide ribosomal RNA is filed under the name uncultured eukaryote. RNAcentral's name for it is "eukaryotic LSU rRNA". The stretch from base 246 to 395 matches the Rfam family "5.8S ribosomal RNA". The record is from RNAcentral.
GCGGACUGAACCGGGGGNAUCCGAUUCUUGGUCAUUUAGAGGAAGUAAAAGUCGUAACAAGGUAACCGUAGGUGAACCUGCGGUUGGAUCAUUAACAAUGAGCAACCGGGAUGUGGUUGAGGCGCAAGCUUCCUACAUCUCAUACACACAUGUGCACUGGACUGUAUUUCGGGCUGUACUUGUAUGGCCCGGCAGAUAACAAACCCUUUUAAUUAGACUGAGUUUUUUAGAAAUAAAAAAUAAACAACUUUAGACAACGGAUCUCUUGGCUCUCGCAACGAUGAAGAACGCAGCGAAAUGCGAUACGUAAUGUGAAUUGCAAAUUUCCGUGAAUCAUCGAAUCUUUGAACGCAUAUUGCACUCUAUUUCGGUAGAGUAUGCCUGUUUGAGAAUCUAUAGUAUUUAUUCUGGGAAUUCUCUGAAUUCUUGGAGAUUUGAGGCGUCUCUUUCGCGAGAGUGCCUUUAAAGCUAUAGCCGGCUGACGUGCACAGGUGCCUGACGCUUUGUAUGUCUUUCGAAAAGUAUUUGAAUGAACGCAUGUUCUUGAAUGCCACAUAGAUGGACGCAGAGAAUAGCUUGUGCAGACAGACGGUCCAUAAACUAAAGCUUCGGCUUGAACAAUGGUCUCAAAUCAGGUAGGAGGACCCGCUGAACUUAAGCAUAUCAAUAAGCGGAGGA